RNAcentral lists this ribosomal RNA (443 nucleotides) under uncultured bacterium. Its description in RNAcentral is "partial 16S ribosomal RNA". It matches the Rfam family "Bacterial small subunit ribosomal RNA", at positions 338 to 795 of the family's 1533-position model. The record is from RNAcentral.
CCUACGGGUGGCAGCAGUGGGGGAUAUUGGACAAUGGGGGAAACCCUGAUCCAGCGACGCCGCGUGAGUGAAGAAGUCUUUCGGGAUGUAAAGCUCUGUCAGCAGGGAAGAAAGAAAUGCCGUUACCUGACCAAGAAGCCCCGGCUAACUACGUGCCAGCAGCCGCGGUAAUACGUAGGGGGCAAGCGUUAUCCGGAAUUACUGGGUGUAAAGGGGGCGUAGACGGUGAUGCAAGUCUGGAGUGAAAGGCGGGGGCCCAACCCCCGGACUGCUCUGGAAACUGUGGAACUUGAGUGCAGGAGAGGUAAGCGGAAUUCCUAGUGUAGCGGUGAAAUGCGUAGAUAUUAGGAGGAACACCAGUGGCGAAGGCGGCUUACUGGACGGUAACUGACGUUGAGGCGCGAAAGCGUGGGGAGCAAACAGGAUUAGAUACCCGUGUAGUC